This is a long non-coding RNA of Oncorhynchus kisutch (coho salmon), 181 nucleotides long. RefSeq lists it as uncharacterized. The transcript has 3 exons. The record is from RefSeq and is a predicted model, not a curated record. NCBI's taxonomy places the organism in Eukaryota, Metazoa, Chordata, Actinopteri, Salmoniformes, Salmonidae.
UUGUAUGUUGCUGCCCCACCUGAGGAUACAAGCAAGAAAGGAGGCAAGAAGAAGGGUGGUUCCAUGCAGACUGUGUCCUCGCAGUUCAGGGAGAACUUGGGCAAACUGAUGACCAACUUGAGGAGCACUCAUCCUCACUUUGUGCGCUGCCUGAUCCCCAAUGAGUCAAAGACUCCAGGUA